This 734-nucleotide unclassified non-coding RNA is filed under the name Leishmania donovani. RNAcentral's name for it is "gene:unknown". The record is from RNAcentral. Lineage: Eukaryota; Euglenozoa; Kinetoplastea; Trypanosomatida; Trypanosomatidae.
UCAGGGCAUGUGUGCUCUUUCCAGGAGGGAGGAGUACACGGUCGACCAUCUGCCCUCACACCAGAGACUGGCUGGCAGCGUUGCCGUGCGUCUCUUUGGAGUGCUGUUGCCUGCCCUGCUCUUCGCCAGAGCGCACACGCACACGCGAAGAAUCACAGUGAGACGUUCCCGCAUCCUAUGGGCAUACAGCCACGCAACGUGGAAGGCGAGGGUGCCAGCAGCGGGAUGCCCACACCAGAAGGAGGAAGCACUCAGCGAAGGAAGGAAAAAGAUAAGGGAAAGAUGACAGCAAGGCGCAGUGCCGGAUGUGGAGACGGACGUGGGAUGCGAUAGCGAAGGGCGGAAUAUCUAUCGUGGCACAUCCUCAUUGCUUGUUCUUUCCCUCUUCCGCCACCCCUUGCCUUUUCUUUUCGCGCUCGCCGUGUGGUGAUGCGCCCCUCCCCCCUCCCAUCCUCCCCUUUCUCUGCUCCUCCUUCUGCGCAGCUCAUAUCUGCCACUUGUCCAUCUUGUUUUUCACUUGUGUUAAAGCCGCGGCACCCUCUCCUCCACGACGGCGCCCCGCCCCGUUCUCCGGUGGUAUCCGGGGUGUGGGGAAGGAGGGGGGAAGGCACCGGUAACGCGCGUACGCCUCCUGUUGUAUCGUUUGUGGUUUUCGAUGUGUGGAACUUGUCUUUGCCAUUCGGCUUGCACCGUGCGUAUGCGCCUGCACGCGUGUAUCAGCUUGGGGCGCUGGC